AAUAAAAGAAAUUAUCAGAUCAUCACAAGUUCAUAGUCUUGAUCGACCUUUUCCGGUUGACAUGUAAUUGAAUUUUUUAAUUUCCAAGAAAAUAAAUAGCAUUCAAUUAUAUGUCAUAUUGAGAUUAAUUGAAAUCAUGGUGAUCUUGAUCAUGUAAUAAUUUGUCAUACCUUUAGUCUUGUGACUGUCUUGUAAGCCACUAACUUUCUGUUUGCCUUUGUCCGCAGGCAAUUCAACUUUUUCAAAAUCUGUUUAUCAACUUGCUUCAAUAAAAUCCAUCCACAUAGUCAAAAUCAUACGAUCAUAAAUAGCUCAACUACAUGCAUAGAACAAACUGGGCUCUUGAAGAAUGACUUUUGGACGUGUGUGAAUGGGGACCUGGGGACGAGAAGAUGUAGAGAGAGAGAGAGAAUAAAUUAGGUAAAAAUAAAAGAGGCCCAUAUCAAAAGAAAGAAAGGACGAGAUCUUAUUAUUGGCGAAAAUUGUGAACACGAUCGAUCGAUCAUAGGAUUUACUAUAACUCGAGUACUUGACCAUGAAUGAAGGCCACGCCAUGUUUUGAUUUGUCGUGACAUUUUGUCAUCAUCUAAGUGUGUUUGUGUCGAGAGAGAAAGCACUUUAAGCGUCAUCGAUUAUUUGAUUUGAGUGUGUGGGAGACUAAGAAGAGAAGAGAGGAAAGCAAGUAGCUAGCUAGCAUUAAAGUUGUCAUCUUUCGAGUACUUUGAUAUGGGGAUGGAUCGGAACAUUGAUGUGUUAUUCUCUCUUUUGGGAGGCUUUUGGAUGUGGAAUAGUUUGGAUGACAGACAGAGAAAUCUCCAAAAGAGAUUUG
Molecule: long non-coding RNA, 829 nt
Filed under: Glycine max (soybean)
Lineage: Eukaryota; Viridiplantae; Streptophyta; Magnoliopsida; Fabales; Fabaceae
Description: long non-coding RNA (GMAX_LNC001172)
Source: RNAcentral